GGCCCUCAGAUCUCAUAGC
RNAcentral lists this microRNA (19 nucleotides) under Corchorus capsularis. Its description in RNAcentral is "sRNA CCACVL1_27810". The record is from RNAcentral. Lineage: Eukaryota; Viridiplantae; Streptophyta; Magnoliopsida; Malvales; Malvaceae.